UGGGGAAUAUUGCACAAUGGGGGAAACCCUGAUGCAGCGACGCCGCGUGAGCGAAGAAGUAUUUCGGUAUGUAAAGCUCUAUCAGCAGGGAAGAAAAUGACGGUACCUGACUAAGAAGCCCCGGCUAACUACGUGCCAGCAGCCGCGGUAAUACGUAGGGGGCAAGCGUUAUCCGGAUUUACUGGGUGUAAAGGGAGCGUAGACGGCAAGGUAAGUCUGAAGUGAAACUCCGGGGCUCAACCCCGGAACUGCUUUGGAAACUAUCUGGCUAGAGUACCGGAGGGGUAAGCGGAAUUCCUAGUGUAGCGGUGAAAUGCGUAGAUAUUAGGAGGAACACCAGCGGCGAAGGCGGCUUACUGGACGGUAACUGACGUUGAGGCUCGAAAGCGUGGGGAGCAAACAGGAUUAGAUACCCUGGUA
RNAcentral lists this ribosomal RNA (420 nucleotides) under uncultured bacterium. RNAcentral's name for it is "bacterial SSU rRNA". It matches the Rfam family "Bacterial small subunit ribosomal RNA", at positions 355 to 792 of the family's 1533-position model. The record is from RNAcentral.